AAAUGCGAUAAGUAAUGUGAAUUGCAGAAUUCAGUGAAUCAUCGAAUCUUUGAACGCACAUUGCGCCCGCCAGUAUUCUGGCGGGCAUGCCUGUUCGAGCGUCAUUUCAACCAUCAAGCCCCUCGCUUGUGUUGGGGACCUGCGGCUGCCGCAGGCCCUGAAAACCAGUGGCGGGCUCGCUGUCACACCGGGCGUAGUAGAUUUUAUCUCGCUCAGGGCGUGCUGCGGGUUCCGGCCGUUAAAAAGCCUUUUUUACCCAAGGUUGACCUCGGAUCAGGUAGGAAGACCCGCUGAACUUAAGC
This 302-nucleotide unclassified non-coding RNA is filed under the name plant metagenome. RNAcentral describes it as "partial contains 5.8S ribosomal RNA, internal transcribed spacer 2, and large subunit ribosomal RNA". The stretch from base 1 to 104 matches the Rfam family "5.8S ribosomal RNA", at positions 51 to 154 of the family's 154-position model. The record is from RNAcentral.